GACGAACGCUGGCGGCGUGCUUAACACAUGCAAGUCGAACGAUGAACCCGGAGCUUGCUCCGGUGGAUUAGUGGCGAACGGGUGAGUAACACGUGAGUAACCUGCCCUUGACUCUGGGAUAACUGCGGGAAACUGUAGCUAAUACCGGAUACGACCCUCGGCGGCAUCGCCAGGGGGUGGAAAGAAUGUCGGUCAAGGAUGGACUCGCGGCCUAUCAGCUAGUUGGUGAGGUAACGGCUGACCAAGGCGACGACGGGUAGCCGGCCUGGGAGGGUGACCCGCCACACGGGGACUGAGACACGGCCCUGACUCCUACGUGAGGCAGAAGUGGGGAAUAUUGAACAAUGGGCGCAAGCCUGAUGCAGCAACGCCGCGUGAGGGAUGACGGCCUUCGGGUUGUAAACCUCUUUUAGUAGGGAAGAAGCGAAAGUGACGGUACCUGCAGAAAAAGCACCGGCUAACUACGUGCCAGCCGCCGCCGUAA
This 484-nucleotide ribosomal RNA is filed under the name uncultured bacterium. Its description in RNAcentral is "partial 16S ribosomal RNA". It matches the Rfam family "Bacterial small subunit ribosomal RNA", at positions 28 to 523 of the family's 1533-position model. The record is from RNAcentral.